This 439-nucleotide ribosomal RNA is filed under the name uncultured bacterium. RNAcentral describes it as "partial 16S ribosomal RNA". It matches the Rfam family "Bacterial small subunit ribosomal RNA", at positions 339 to 795 of the family's 1533-position model. The record is from RNAcentral.
CUACGGGCCGCACCAGUGGGGAAUUUUGCGCAAUGGGGGAAACCCUGACGCAGCAAUACCGCGUGAGUGAAGAAGGCCUUUGGGUCGUAAAGCUCUUUUCUUGGGGAAGAUAGUGACGGUACCCAAGGAAUAAGCACCGGCUAACUCCGUGCUAGCAGCCGCGGUAAUACGGAGGGUGCAAGCGUUGUUCGGAUUUACUGGGCGUAAAGGGCACGUAGGCGGCACAGCAAGUUAAGGGUGAAAUCCCGGGGCUCAACUCCGGAACUGCUCUUAAAACUGCUGAGCUAGAGAUAGUCAGAGGCGGGUGGAAUUCCAGGUGUAGAGGUGAAAUUCGUAGAUAUCUGGAGGAACACCGGUGGCGAAGGCGGCCCGCUGGGGCUAUUCUGACGCUAAGGUGCGAAAGCGUGGGGAGCAAACGGGAUUAGAUACCCCAGUAGUC